Molecule: ribosomal RNA, 265 nt
Filed under: uncultured bacterium
Lineage: Bacteria
Description: partial 16S ribosomal RNA
Rfam family: Bacterial small subunit ribosomal RNA
Source: RNAcentral
AUGGCGACCGGCGCACGGGUGAGUAACACGUAUCCAACCUGCCUCAUACUCGGGGAUAGCCUUUCGAAAGAAAGAUUAAUACCCGAUGUUAUAGUCCUACCGCAUGAUGGGAUUAUUAAAGAAUUUCGGUAUGGGAUGGGGAUGCGUUCCAUUAGUUAGUUGACGGGGUAACGGCCCACCAAGACAACGAUGGAUAGGGGUUCUGAGAGGAAGGUCCCCCACACUGGUACUGAGACACGGACCAGACUCCUACGGGAGGCAGCAG